Non-coding RNA from Schizosaccharomyces pombe (fission yeast), 1454 nucleotides. NCBI's taxonomy places the organism in Eukaryota, Fungi, Ascomycota, Schizosaccharomycetes, Schizosaccharomycetales, Schizosaccharomycetaceae. The record is from the annotation of a GenBank genome assembly.
CCAUAAAAAGUCUGGAGUGUCUAAUAUGUUACUAAUAAGGUUGACAUCCACUCGUAACUGAAACAAAUGACCGCUCAUGCGAACAACCUCUACCCUUGAAAGACCUAAAUGACCGUAUAAAGCAAGCUUUUUUGGAUAGAAUAAUGCAGAGUUCAUUGUGACGUCUGUUCGUAACUCAAACCUAGAAAGUUUGACGGAUUGAGCCAAAGCAUGAGACAUUGCCAGCUUCAUUUUGUUGUCCGCUGACGGGAUAUGAAUCAUAUCAUUAUAUAUCCUCGGCCUUUUUGUAUUCGGCGCGUAAUGAAAAUGUAAAUCUUCAAUUUCACAUUCCUCUUCUGCUAAAGGCUUAACCAUUAAAGAAUUAUCACCACCAAAAGUUAAAUCGGCAAGAAUAUCCUUUUCUUGACUCAAAGAAAAAUUCCAAAAAACCACGACACCAUAAGAGAAGACGAAAACUAAAUGGCGUUAAUAGGAAAUUAGCUAAACAGUUAGGAUUAACUUACUUUCAGAUAUUCGAUACAAUUGAGAUAUUAUAUGAGAAUCAAAAUUUUCGUUAUCCGGUUUGUCAGAGUCCAAAUGCUUUUGAUUGUGAUUAGACGCACUAGAGGGCAUAUCGUCCGGUGCUGGGCCACUAGAAACUCGGCAAGAUUCAGACCUGCCAUACACUAAAGGUAAAUGAUAUACAGCGUAUAGAACCUCAUCAUAUUUCUUUGCGCGGACUUUGUGAUAAUGUUUUAAAAAAUGUUUAACCUUAGGCAACUGGAAAGCUUCACAGACACAAUAUGCUGUAGCACGAGGAAAUCCUAACUCUUCACGUUUGUCACGAGGUAAGUUUUCUAAUUUGAUUAAAUUAUAGGCAUCGCUAGGAGUAAGCAAGUCCUCAUAGUUGCUUUCUUCUUCGUUAAAUGAAUUGACAGCAUGGUUCUCGGGUAGUAGUACAAGUUUCUGAGAUGUUUUAGUAGUUCUUUGAGGAAUAUGAGCAGCAGCAUGUCGGUUUUUUAAGAACCAUCCUAAUGGAUGAUCGAUUUUCCUAGCAUUCCGCCGUCUUUGAAAAAGGCCUUGAGCUGCAGAUAUUCGAUGAUCUCCAAAACGUGGUGGGCUACCAUGCUGAGGCGUUAUUCGUGUACUUUCUGAAUUUAUUGGGGGAGGAAUAUGCACAGGAGUUGAUAAUCGAGUAUUAAUUGUCCGUUUAGGGGGUAAAUUUAGUUUAUCCUUAGUAGACAUCGAAUGUGUACUUCGAGCGUUGGUUUACUGGUCAUGCCAAUAUAAGUCUAUGUCUCUGAUACGCAGUAUAAUACUUUAAUCAAGUAUUAUAUGCAACUAAGUAAAAUUACAAUUAUUUUGAAAGAUAAAAUGGUUGUGCUUAGUAGUGUAUGAGGAAAGUAAACUUGAUUAACUAUGGAGCUUAUUUCAAAUUAUCAGAGAGCAAGUGAAUAAAGUAGGGUAUUAAUUAC